AUUGAACGCUGGCGGCAGGCCUAACACAUGCAAGUCGAGCGGAUGACGGGAGCUUGCUCCUUGAUUCAGCGGCGGACGGGUGAGUAAUGCCUAGGAAUCUGCCUGGUAGUGGGGGACAACGUUUCGAAAGGAACGCUAAUACCGCAUACGUCCUACGGGAGAAAGCAGGGGACCUUCGGGCCUUGCGCUAUCAGAUGAGCCUAGGUCGGAUUAGCUAGUUGGUGGGGUAAUGGCUCACCAAGGCGACGAUCCGUAACUGGUCUGAGAGGAUGAUCAGUCACACUGGAACUGAGACACGGUCCAGACUCCUACGGGAGGCAGCAGUGGGGAAUAUUGGACAAUGGGCGAAAGCCUGAUCCAGCCAUGCCGCGUGUGUGAAGAAGGUCUUCGGAUUGUAAAGCACUUUAAGUUGGGAGGAAGGGCAGUAAGUUAAUACCUUGCUGUUUUGACGUUACCGACAGAAUAAGCACCGGCUAACUCUGUGCCAGCAGCCGCGGUAAUACAGAGGGUGCAAGCGUUAAUCGGAAUUACUGGGUGUAAAGCGCGCGUAGGUGGUUUGUUAAGUUGGAUGUGAAAGCCCCGGGCUCAACCUGGGAACUGCAUCCAAAACUGGCAAGCUAGAGUACGGUAGAGGGUGGUGGAAUUUCCUGUGUAGCGGUGAAAUGCGUAGAUAUAGGAAGGAACACCAGUGGCGAAGGCGACCACCUGGACUGAUACUGACACUGAGGUGCGAAAGCGUGGGGAGCAAA
This 749-nucleotide ribosomal RNA is filed under the name uncultured bacterium. RNAcentral describes it as "bacterial SSU rRNA". It matches the Rfam family "Bacterial small subunit ribosomal RNA", at positions 28 to 772 of the family's 1533-position model. The record is from RNAcentral.